Molecule: ribosomal RNA, 419 nt
Filed under: bacterium
Lineage: Bacteria
Description: partial 16S ribosomal RNA
Rfam family: Bacterial small subunit ribosomal RNA
Source: RNAcentral
UGGGGGAUAUUGCACAAUGGGCGCAAGCCUGAUGCAGCGACGCCGCGUGGGGGAUGAAGGCCUUCGGGUUGUAAACUUCUUUUGCUCUGAACAAGGCGCACUUUGGGGUGUGUUGAGUGUAGGGGUUGAUUAGCGCCGGCUAACUACGUGCCAGCAGCCGCGGUAAUACGUAGGGCGCGAGCGUUGUCCGGAAUUAUUGGGCGUAAAGGGCUUGUAGGUGGCUGGUUGCGUCUGUCGUGAAAGCUCAUGGCUUAACUGUGGGUUUGCGGUGGGUACGGGCUGGCUUGAGUGCAGUAGGGGAGGCUGGAAUUCCUGGUGUAGCGGUGGAAUGUGCAGAUAUCAGGAGGAAUACCGGUGGCGAAGGCGGGGCUCUGGGCUGUUACUGACACUGAGGAGCGAAAGCAUGGGGAGCGAACAGG